Non-coding RNA from Taeniopygia guttata (zebra finch), 260 nucleotides. The record is from RefSeq and is a predicted model, not a curated record. Lineage: Eukaryota; Metazoa; Chordata; Aves; Passeriformes; Estrildidae.
GAGCUGUGCCCAGCAGGCAUCGUGGGGCAUCCUGGAACCCAGAUCCCUGCUCCUCUGAAUCCUUUCCAAGCACUGCAGUGCAAAUAACUAAUAAUAACAGAGCUGUUGCUGGGGGAAAGAAUCAUCCUUGAAACUGUUCAGACACUGCAGAGGAAAGACAGAUAAAAGGACUUGUACAGAGGAGUAAAUGUAUAUGUCCCUGAAAUGUGCUGCAGUAUUGGGUGAUCACUCAGUCUGGAAGACAGAGACUGCAUGGCAGG